This is a long non-coding RNA of Monodelphis domestica (gray short-tailed opossum), 825 nucleotides long. The record is from Ensembl. Lineage: Eukaryota; Metazoa; Chordata; Mammalia; Didelphimorphia; Didelphidae.
AGAACGUUAGCAUAAAAACACCUGGGAUGUGGGAACACAGAAAAGCAUUAAGAGCUAUAAAAACUCUUAGAGAUCUUCAAAUCCAACUUUCCCUUCUGGAAAGAUCUAGACAUUGAGGACAGAGCAGGAAGGUGGCUCCCUUACCCAAGAUCGUUCCAAAUGGUUAGUAAUAAGAAAAGAUCUAGACUCCAGGCCGGCCAUAGAGCCUCUGAGGCCAUCUUAUUAGACUUGUGAGCCCAUUUCAGAAAGCCAGACCUCUCUGAAAAGAUGAGGAACCUGGUAUAAUUAACCAUGGCUUCCUCAAGCUUUCGUAAUCAGUCCUCCAAGCUAAUGAAACAUCUCUGCUCUGAAAAUACCCAAAGGUCUCCUGAGAUUGACCUACAGUCAUAGGACAGAAAAAGUCAGAGCUGGAAGAGCAGCUCAUGUGCUCACCUUGGACAAGCAAGAUACAACUUGGAUUUUCUUGGACCUUUCACCUGUAGUAUUGACUUGGGAAUGGUCAUCUUUUCUAAGAAAUCACUGUAGAUAUCAACUCCUUCUGGACUACCAACAUCCAAAUCCAGGAGCCCCUGACCUCUCAAGACUAAUGAAUUUGGUAAUAAGGGUAAAAAAAUCCCUGCCAAAAUUGCUGUUCAGUCACCUAUGCUCAAGGAAAGAAACUCAAAGCAGGAGGAGCAUCAAGGAACUUGAGAUCCAGGCUCAGGUUUUCCUAGGCCAUGGACUCUUCUCCAAUCCAUAAUUGUGGAAGGUAUUUUUUUUCUUGCUCCUCUAAUUAGAAGGCUUCAUUUGGAAAUAAAGGUGGCAUAAAAACAAAAAUAGUAUUCA